This is a long non-coding RNA of Rosa rugosa (rugosa rose), 556 nucleotides long. RefSeq lists it as uncharacterized. Lineage: Eukaryota; Viridiplantae; Streptophyta; Magnoliopsida; Rosales; Rosaceae. The transcript is spliced from 3 exons. The record is from RefSeq and is a predicted model, not a curated record.
GUUGCAAUUGGUGAUGGCUUCGGUUGCUGUGGUUGAGGUCUGAGUUUUUGAUUUGGUUGGAUGUGUGGAAACUAAGGGGUUAGAUUGGCAAAAGCUGUACAGAAGUUGGGAAGAUAAUCCGGAUGUCAGUUGUAUUGCACUAAGACAAAUGAUGAAAUCAAAAUGGUUGAAUUAGAAGCUAAACUUGGCAGUGAGAUGAGCAAAAUUGAAGGCCUUACUGGCAAGUCUUCCAAGCUACUAGCAUUUUGCUGACCAAAUUUGAUAUGCUGAGCGUUGUUUCUUCCCAUGUUGCAGACAAGGAAAAAGGAUUGUGUUUCAAAUCUUUUUGAGCAUGAUACUGGUACCCAUGGCUUAUGAACUAUAAUAUGUAAAAGGUUUCCAAUAACCAUUUAUAGUUGUUCCAACAGUGAUUGUAAGUAAGAUUGUUCCAACAGUGAUUGUAAGUAAGAAUACUCAAUAUUCUUAUAAUUCCAGUGGUUGAUCUCAUAUUAUGUAACGUCAAUGCAGUAUUAUAAAACCCGCAGCAACGCGCAGGUACUGUUUCUAGUUAUAAAAC